RNAcentral lists this long non-coding RNA (5093 nucleotides) under Homo sapiens (human). Its description in RNAcentral is "PREDICTED lncRNA (TCONS_00127722)". Lineage: Eukaryota; Metazoa; Chordata; Mammalia; Primates; Hominidae. The record is from RNAcentral.
GCCUCCCGGGUUCACGCCAUUCUCCUGCCUCAGCCUCCCGAGUAGCUGGAACUACAGGCGCCCGCCAUGAUGCCCGGCUCAUUUUCUGUGUUUUCAGUAGAGACGGGGUUUCACUGUGUUAGCCAGGAAAGUCUUGAUCUCCUGACCUCGUGAUCCUGACCUCGGCCUCCCAAAGUGCUGGGAUUACAGGCGCGAGCCACCGCGCCCGACAGCAGUUAUGAAGUUCUAAAAGCAAGUCUUAAUCAGGAAGUGUCCUUGAUCACCAACGGCUCGCCCAGGCAUGCUGGCUCUCUUCCACUUCCACCUUCCACCAUGGGAUGACGCAGUAAGAAGGCCAUCAGUAGAUGCCAGUCCCUCAACCUUGAACUUUCCAGACGCAGAACUUUAUGCCUCCAUUUUCCUCUGCUGCAUGGCCCCAGGAGAGAUUUUAAUUAGCUUUCUAACCUUGGUCCAGAUUGCACAUGCAAAUGGUAGAGGAUGCAACACCCCCGCUUGUGGAGCUGCCGCUUGUGUCUGGCAUGAAAAUUCACAAGAAGAGAGGAAAUACUGAGGAGAAAAUGGCAGAUUGUGUUUGCUGAAUUUGAUUGACGAAGAAGUCACCAUGAAAAUCACAGUGAACCAUUUGGAAAGCAAACUGCCAAAAAAUAAUAGUUAGUCAUGCUCUCAGGCUGGUAAUUGAAAGUUUUGUUCAAAUCGUACUUAAUAUUCAAUAAUUGUUUAACCAUACCACUGCUUAUCUUGGGAAUGCUGAUACUAUGGAGACAAUAAGAUAAGGUGGCUGCUGAAAAUCAGAUUUAGACACUACUUUGAUUAUAAUCAUUUUUUUUGUAUAUCCCAUGAAGGUAUUAUAUGUUAGUGGUUGUUCUAUGCUUAAUAUUUAUAUAGCAACAAAGAGUAAAUAAACUGCAAUUUAUACAUGUUAUAUUGUUGACCUAUGCUAAAAGUUAAUUACCAUAAUGAAAUGGUUUGGCUGUGUCCCCACCCAAAUCUCAUCUUGAACCCAUAAUCCCCAUGUGUCCUGCUGCUGGACCCAGUGGGAGGUAAUUGAAUCACAGGGGCAGUGUCUCCCACGCUGUUCUCAUGAUAGAGAGUUCUCAUGAGAUCUGAUGGUUUUAUAAGUGUCUGGCAUUUCCCUGCUUGUACUCAAUCUCUUGCCUGCCACCCUGAGAAAAGGUGCCUUCUGACAUGAUUGUAAGUUUCCUGAGGCCUCCCCAACCAUGUGAAACUGUGAGUCAAUUAAACCUCUUUUCUUUAUAAGUUACCCACUAUGAAGUAUUUCUUCACAGUAGCGUGAUAACUGAAUAAUACAUGUAACAAUUACAUGAACAAAUUAUUACAAGUUUGAGGUACAUCAGGUUUAAAUUAAGGAAAAAUGUUUAAAGAAUUUUCCUCCUCAAUGUUUCUUAGGGUCGAAGAGGCGUUUAUGUUUGUUUAUGAAUAGGUCCUCGAAGGUAAAACAUAGGCUUUAACAUUCUGAGGCCAAGGAUGGAGCUGUGUCUGAUUUAUAAAGUUUCAGACGCAGUAGAACAAUUGACAUGAGAAACUAGUCUUCCUCUGAGGCUGGUGAAGCUGCAGAUCAGCACACACUCAGACUUGGUACAGAGAAACAGACCAUUCUCCCAUUAGCCUUUGGUAUACUUCAGUCACCUGGGGUAGAGUGAUUUCUGUGAUUUCUAAACCUUCUGUCCUACUCAUCUUACAGGCCAUGUCCAUCCUCAGAACUCAUGCUUUCCUUUAUUGUAGCUUCUGUUCUACGACUCCUCUAAUACAUUUUUCUUAGGAGCUUCAUUGAGAUAUAAUUUAUAUCCCAUAACAUUCACAUUUGAAAUGUGGCAUCCAGUGUUUUUUAUUGUAGUCACAGACUUAUGCAACUAUCACAUCGAAUUUUAGAAUAUUUUCACCGCCCUCUGAAAAAAACUAAAUAACAAUUAGCAGUAGCUCCCCGUUUCUUUUCUCUGCCAAACCACUAGCAACUAUUAAUCUAUUUUCUGUCUUUAGCCAUUUGGCAUUCCGAACAUUUAAUACAAAUACGAUCAUUUAAUAUGUGGUCAUUUGUUAGUUUGUUUCUUUUUAAAAUAUGGGCUUUUUGACUGGCUUCUUUCACUUUGCAUAAUGCUUUCAAGGUUCAUCCAGAUUUUAGCAGGUACACAUACUUCAUUCCUUUUUUAUGCCUGAAUGAUAUUUUGUGGUAUUUUUUGCUGUUAUGAAUAAUUCACUGUUUGGCCACCGUAAAUAUGCAUGUAUAAGUCUUUUGGGGACAUGAUUUUAUUUUGGAGGAUAGAUACUUAGAUGUUGAAAUAUUGGUUCAUAUAAUAGAUCUGUGUUUAAAUAUUUGAGGAACACUUCUUGAUGGUAUUGUGACACAAAUCUAUUAUGCAUAUAUGUAUGUAUUUACAUUGAGUAUGCUUUUGGUGUAAUAUCUAUCAAAGGUUAUGAAGAUUUACUGUUAUAUUUUCUUCUAAGAAUUUACAAUUUUACCUCUUACAUUUGUCUCUGUGAUUCAUUUUUCAGUUAAUUCUUGUGCAUGGUGUGAGGUAGGAGGACAAUUUCAUUCUUUUUUGUGCGACAAUUCAGUUUUCCCAGAACUAUUUAUUGACAAGUCAAUAAAGUGAAUUGUAGCAUAGAAAAUAUUGCAUUGAAUUAUCUUGGCACCUGUAUCAAAAGUCAGUUGAUCAUAAAUGUAAGAAUUUAUUUCUGGAACCUUAUUUCUAUUCCAUUAGUUGAUAUAUCUCUCCUUGUGUUAGUACCAUAAUGUCUUAAUUGCUAUAGCUUUGUAUUAAGUUUUGAAACAGGGUAGUAUAUGUCCUUCACCUUUGUUCUUUCUUGCCAGGUUGUUUUGGCUGUUGUGGGUUUCUUGCAUUUCCAGAUGAUUGCAAAGAGCUGUUUCUCAAUUUCUGCAACAAGUGCCAGCUGAAAUUUUGGUACCAGUUUCAUUAAAUAUGUAGAACAAUUUGAGCCUGAGUGAGUUCUGUGGAGCCCAUACUACCUGCGAUUCAAGCCAGCAACCUUGGAAUCUCCCUGAACAAUUUCUAUGGUGUCCAAUCACAUUUGCAAUCACUCCCCACACUCAGUAGGUUCUGCCCCCACAUCAUUUCUUUUCUCUAUCCUCUUUCCCAGCUUUAUAAUAUGACUUAGUUCAAGCCCUAAUCACUGGAUUAUUCAAAGUCCCUUAACAGGUUAAUUCCUACUGUGAUCAACACUUUAAAGGAAGGCAAUAGGGCCAGGCAUGGUGGCUCACGGCUGUAAUCCCAGCACUUUGGGAGGCUGAGGCGAGUGGAUCACAAGGUCGGGAGUUUGAGACCAGCCUGACUAACACAGUGAAACCCCGACUCUACUAAAAAUACAAAAAAUUAGCCAGGUGUGGUCGUGGGUACCUGUAGUCCCAGCUACUAGGGAGGCUGAGGCAGGAGAAUGGCGUGAACCCGAGAGGCGGAGCUUGCAGUGAGCCAAGAUUACGCCACUGCACUCCAGCCUGGGUGACGGAGCGAGACUCCAUCUCAAAAAAAAUAAAAAAUAAAUAAAACAGAAAGGCAAUGGCUAUCCCAAAUUGCUGAAGCCUUUGCUAAAAGCACAGACAGAAAACAACAAUAUGGUGAUGUUUGUGUUAAACAAAUGUUAUUGAUUCUAGGACACAGGUCAGAUGGCAAAUAGUCAAACUCAAAUGUUGAUCCCAGGGGUGGCUGUAUCAUCACUAAGGCCAAAUCACAACUUUGACUGGUCUCAUGGGAACACAGAUCUUGGGUUUGGAAAGAGCACAGGCCUGGCCAUGGGAAUGGACACAGGGUAAUUUUAAGAUGACUAGAGGUUCCUCAAACCCUAAAAGUACCACUGAACCUUGUUUAAAGCUAAAAUGGCUCCUAAAUGAUAGACACGUUUCUCAGUUAUCUCUGCAAACUGAAGAUCCUAUCAGCCUGUUCAGGGUCUCACAGGCCUCUGGGUUUGUACAUGAUGUCCCUACAGUGGCGAUGGGGACUGAUGAGAGCCACCGUUCCCAUUGGAGGAGGGCAAGCUGCCACUGAGUGUCAGCUGCUGGAGUAAACAUCCAAUCACAUGUGUACCUGUAUCCUAUGGAUAUUGGCUUCCCCUCAUACAACUUGUUGUUCCUUUGUUUUCCAUUCCUGACUAUAUUUGAAUCUUUCUUGGAUUUCCAGGAAACAUCUGACUGCUUUCCUAUGCCACUUCAUACCCAAGAGAAGCUCAGGGAGAUCCUUUAAGGUCCUUUAUGCCCAUUAUGAUAGUACAUGAAUAGGUAAAUGUACCACUGCUCCCUGUACUUCUUGGAUAAUGCACAAAUAGUAAGACAGUCUCGCAACCAGCAGCCUAGACAGCCCAAAUAUGUGAAACCAAAACAGCUUGAUCUUCCAGACCUGUUCUGACUCCUUGAGUCUUAAAUCUCCAAGCCUCUUGAAUGUUUCACCCACAGCCUUCCCUUUGGGAUCUGGCAUGGGACAGGAAGGGCAGAGAAGGGCCUGGGGCUUUUCCUCAGGGAUCCACCACAGUCUAGGCCAGUGGGUGGCAAACUUUUUCUGCAAAGGAUCAGCUGGGAGAUAGUUUCAACUUUGUAGUCUCGUCGCAGCUACUCUACUCGACUCUGCCACUGGAGUGUGAAUGCAGUCAUGAAUAAAAGAAUGAAAGUUUUCCAGUGAAACUUUAGUCACAAAAACAGUCUGCAGGCUGUGUCUGGCCCGUGGGCUUUGGUUUGCUGGCCUGCGGGCUCCUAGAAGGCUCUGACUUUAUCCCUCUAUGAGGGAAAGCAGGUUUUGGGGUAUUCUCCCAAAUCUUUAUACCUUAUGUCUGUGUCUCUUUUUAAAUUAAAAGUAAAAUUUAGGCCAGAUGCCAUGACUCACACCUGUAAUCCCAACAUUUUGGGAGGCUGAGGAGGGAGGACCACUUGGUUCCAGGAGUUCACAACCAGACUGGACAACAUAGCAAGACCUAGUCUCUACAAAAGAAAAAAAAAUGAAAAUUUAGCAGAGCAUGGUGGUGCUUCCCUGUAGUCCCAACUACUAGGGAGGCUGAGGUGGGAGGAUUGCUGAAGCCCAGGAAGUCGAGGCUGCAGUGAGUCAUUGUUACACCAGUGUACUCCAGACGGG